UCGGGAAUUUUGGGCAAUGGGGGAAACCCUGACCCAGCAACGCCGCGUGAAGGAUGAAGUAUUUCGGUAUGUAAACUUCGAAAGAAUAGGAAGAAUAAAUGACGGUACUAUUUAUAAGGUCCGGCUAACUACGUGCCAGCAGCCGCGGUAAUACGUAGGGACCAAGCGUUGUUCGGAUUUACUGGGCGUAAAGGGCGCGUAGGCGGCAUGACAAGUCACUUGUGAAAUCUCUGGGCUUAACCCAGAACGGCCAAGUGAUACUGUCGCGCUAGAGUGCAGAAGGGGCAAUCGGAAUUCUUGGUGUAGCGGUGAAAUGCGUAGAUAUCAAGAGGAACACCUGAGGUGAAGACGGGUUGCUGGGCUGACACUGACGCUGAGGCGCGAAAGCCGGGGGAGCAAACGGGAUUAGAUACCCUUGUAGUCCCUGAGCGGGCUGGCAAGGCGCAU
This 447-nucleotide ribosomal RNA is filed under the name uncultured bacterium. RNAcentral describes it as "bacterial SSU rRNA". It matches the Rfam family "Bacterial small subunit ribosomal RNA", at positions 355 to 825 of the family's 1533-position model. The record is from RNAcentral.